GACGAACGCUGGCGGCGUGCUUAACACAUGCAAGUCGAACGGAAAGGCCUGCUUUCCCUUGUGGAUUGCGGGUACUCGAGUGGCGAACGGGUGAGUAACACGUGAGUGAUCUACCCCCAACUUGGGUAUAAGCCUGGGAAACUGGGUCUAAUUCCCGAUAGGACUGCAGGGUGGUGCCUGUGGUGGAAAACGAUUUUCUAGUGGUUGGGGAUGAGCUCGCGGCCUAUCAGCUUGUUGGUGGGGUAAUGGCCUACCAAGGCGGCGACGGGUAGCCGGCCUGAGAGGGUGGACGGCCACAUUGGGACUGAGAUACGGCCCGGACUCCUACGGGAGGCAGCAGUGGGGAAUAUUGCACAAUGGGCGGAAGCCUGAUGCAGCGACGCCGCGUGGGGGAUGACGGCCUUCGGGUUGUAAACUCCUUUCGACCGCGAGGAAGCCACCUGGUUGGAAGGGUGGUGACGGUAGUGGUAGAAGAAGCACCGGCUAACUACGUG
RNAcentral lists this ribosomal RNA (494 nucleotides) under uncultured bacterium. RNAcentral describes it as "partial 16S ribosomal RNA". It matches the Rfam family "Bacterial small subunit ribosomal RNA", at positions 28 to 507 of the family's 1533-position model. The record is from RNAcentral.